GUCCACGCCGUAAACGAUGGGUACUAGGUGUCGCGGGUAUUGACCCCUGCGGUGCCGAAGCUAACGCAUUAAGUACCCCGCCUGGGGAGUACGGUCGCAAGACUAAAACUCAAAGGAAUUGACGGGGGCCCGCACAAGCGGUGGAGCAUGUGGUUUAAUUCGACGCAACGCGAAGAACCUUACCUGGGCUUGACAUCCCGAUCGUACCUGCUGGAAACAGUGGGGUCAGUUCGGUUGGAUCGGAGACAGGUGCUGCAUGGCUGUCGU
RNAcentral lists this ribosomal RNA (267 nucleotides) under uncultured bacterium. RNAcentral's name for it is "partial 16S ribosomal RNA". It matches the Rfam family "Bacterial small subunit ribosomal RNA", at positions 793 to 1055 of the family's 1533-position model. The record is from RNAcentral.